RNAcentral lists this ribosomal RNA (253 nucleotides) under uncultured bacterium. Its description in RNAcentral is "partial 16S ribosomal RNA". It matches the Rfam family "Bacterial small subunit ribosomal RNA", at positions 524 to 776 of the family's 1533-position model. The record is from RNAcentral.
UACGUAGGGUGCGAGCGUUGUCCGGAAUUAUUGGGCGUAAAGAGCUCGUAGGCGGUUUGUCGCGUCUGCUGUGAAAACCUAAGGCUCAACCUUGGGCUUGCAGUGGGUACGGGCAGACUAGAGUGCGGUAGGGGUGACUGGAAUUCCUGGUGUAGCGGUGGAAUGCGCAGAUAUCAGGAGGAACACCGAUGGCGAAGGCAGGUCACUAGGCCGCAACUGACGCUGAGGAGCGAAAGCAUGGGGAGCGAACAGG